GAUGAACGCUGGCGGCGUGCCUAAUACAUGCAAGUCGAGCGAACAGACGAGGAGCUUGCUCCUUUGACGUUAGCGGCGGACGGGUGAGUAACACGUAGAUAACCUACCUAUAAGACUGGGAUAACUUCGGGAAACCGGAGCUAAUACCGGAUAAUAUAUUGAACCGCAUGGUUCGAUAGUGAAAGAUGGCUUUGCUAUCACUUAUAGAUGGACCUGCGCCGUAUUAGCUAGUUGGUAAGGUAACGGCUUACCAAGGCAACGAUACGUAGCCGACCUGAGAGGGUGAUCGGCCACACUGGAACUGAGACACGGUCCAGACUCCUACGGGAGGCAGCAGUAGGGAAUCUUCCGCAAUGGGCGAAAGCCUGACGGAGCAACGCCGCGUGAGUGAUGAAGGUCUUCGGAUCGUAAAACUCUGUUAUUAGGGAAGAACAAACGUGUAAGUAACUGUGCACGUCUUGACGGUACCUAAUCAGAAAGCCACGGCUAACUACGUG
This 497-nucleotide ribosomal RNA is filed under the name uncultured bacterium. RNAcentral's name for it is "partial 16S ribosomal RNA". It matches the Rfam family "Bacterial small subunit ribosomal RNA", at positions 28 to 507 of the family's 1533-position model. The record is from RNAcentral.